GGCAAGGCCAGAGCCCCGCACAUGCUUCAAGUUACAGGAUCUGGGUGAUGGGCCUGGCCAAUGUCCUACAGUAACCCCAGGCCUAGCCUGGCCUCAACCAGCAGAUGUUUCCUGCAAUGGAAAGUUGCUGGCCAGGGCUCUCAGUGGAGGAAGAGGAGGGGAGGCUCACAGGGCAUCAGAGCUCUGGGGACAUCUGAAAUUUGAGACUGAAUAGAGCAGGGGUUUCUUAAGAGACAGGUCUCUUCUAAGGAACGCAUCUAUUCGGCGACUUCUCUGCUGCAACAGCAGCCAACAUGGGACUCUCCAAAUGUGUUGGUCACAGAGAAGUUGGACAGAUAGUCUGGAGAAGAGGAGGUCAGCCUGAGGUGCUCUCCCGAGGACUAGGCACCAUGGAGGCAUAGGAUCAAAGCCAAGCAGAGUCACAGGCAAGCUGCUCAGACCUUGAGAGCAAACUGUAAGAGCAGACCUUCUGAACCCUGGUGAGAACGUGGGAAACAAGUCAAAGAAAGAGAUGGCAGCCAGGCCGUGGGGGCACAAAGGGUGCUAUGCCAGUGGGUCUCAAACCUGUGGGCCACGUCCCCUUUGGGGAUCGAAUGACCCUUUCACAGGGGCCGUGGACGAUCGGAUAUUUACAUGAUGGCUCAGGACAGCAAGCACCACAACUACAGUUAUAAAGAAGCAAAGAAAAUAACUUUACAGUUGGGGGUCACCUCAGCAUGAGGAGCUGUAUUAAAGAGUUACAGCAUUAGGAAGGUUGAGAAUCACUGAGCGCGGCAGAGAGGUAGAGAGGGGAAAUAGACAGUGUGGGGACUGGGAGGGUGUGGACUCCCACAAGAUCCUCAAAAUAGUCAAGGCAGCUCUGCUCUACCCCGCUAGCCCACCCUAUCAGGAAGGUCUUGGACUGCUGCAUCACGGGUAAUGUUCCUUCUUCUUAUAAACCUAGUAAUUUCCUAGGCUGAAACUUUAGUAUGUUUAAAAAUUACUCCAGUGAUGCCAAAGAACACAGAUUCUUGGGUCUCAGACCCGAAGAGUCCAGCUAAGAGGAACAUGACAGCCACAGUUAGGUUAAAGAAAGGGGAAAGAAUCCUUGCCCGAGGCAUCUUCUAACUCGCUCCCCUUUCCAUCUUGAAGGACACCUGCCUUCAUCCAACCUAAGGUAAACCCCACUCCAUUAGAUACCAUCUGCCCUAGGAAUGAGUCACCCUUCAGUUCAGUCUUCUCUAGCACUUAGUAUUUCAUAUAUUGUGUAAAAAAUAUCUAUGACAUGAAUGCAUUCCCUAUCGCUUUAUUGGUAUCUUCACACACACACACACACACACACACACACACACACACACACAUCCCUAGUCCAUAAGCCUGACUUCUUGGAACGUAGUCCCCGCCCUGACUCAAUCCUAAGAUCAAGUUCUCUCUGCCCUAUGUGUCAGCGGUCCUCAGAUUUUGUGAUGGGUAAAUGCAGCAACUCUGUUUUCCAGGGUGGUUGCAACACUUCCCUUCAGAUCCAGACCACACCCAAGACACAGGCAGUAUAGACCAUUCCAGAAGGCUGUGGGAACUUAACAGAAAGUCCCUGGAAACUCUGGUACCUAGGCCACAAACACGGGACAGCCGAGAUGGUGAUUAUUUGGACAAGACAGGGACAGUUAACACCUAGAGACAUAUUGCCGUAGACUGAGGUGACUUUCAGUCUGUCUCAGCCCUGGUCUCCACCCCCUCACCAUGGGCUUGGCAGGACAGGGCCAGAACUCCAGGAGCGGGAAUUGGCUCCUAGCUAAACAUUAACUCUACGGCAAACACUGGGUGCCGGGACCAACUGGUACCCUUUCUCGGUCCAGGCUCAGCAGGAAGCAGGGGGUGAGAGGGCCCAGGUGUAAAAAAAUAGAUUUUGGUUCAGCAUUAACCUCACCUAGGAAGAAACAAGUGAAGAGCCACAAAGGAAAUCCUGGUGCUUCAGCCAAAUCCGGUGACACUAAUUUCUGCAAUGCCGCUCAAAAGGAGAUUAUUAGGGAGGAGGCUGGGGUAUUUGCGACAGCUGGUCUACGACAGCUCCCACGCAGAGAGAGCUCCUCCCCACCAAGAUAGGAGCUGCCAUCAUUCUGAGGAGGCCAGAGGCCAGAAGACCCUUGCUCUAGAGUUGAGGAAUUCUGGCUCUGACCUCCCCAGGGGAUCUGAAACUUAACAAUGAAAGAAGGGGAAUGGCUGGAGCCUGCUGUGCCGUUUCCAGCCUCUACUUGUGAACAUUCUGUGUGGGAACCUCACCGACAGGUCAAAGCCUGGAUGUGAGACCAGAGGAUGGAGCCUGUGCACAGUCAGCAGCCUGGAGUGUUUUUUAGCAUAAAUACAGAACUGGGCAGGCACUGUGUCAGCUGGUUCUCCCACCUGCA
Long non-coding RNA from Alexandromys fortis (reed vole), 2384 nucleotides. RefSeq lists it as uncharacterized. The record is from RefSeq and is a predicted model, not a curated record. The transcript is spliced from 4 exons. NCBI's taxonomy places the organism in Eukaryota, Metazoa, Chordata, Mammalia, Rodentia, Cricetidae.